RNAcentral lists this microRNA (19 nucleotides) under Homo sapiens (human). RNAcentral's name for it is "hsa-miR-6744-5p". Lineage: Eukaryota; Metazoa; Chordata; Mammalia; Primates; Hominidae. The record is from miRBase by way of RNAcentral.
UGGAUGACAGUGGAGGCCU